AGUUAAUGUUUACUGUACGGUUAUUACAUAUACAGCUUCUCCGCGAAGCUUUCUCCCAGCUGCCAGGACAAAAACCACCUGCAAUCACAAAUACUUUUCAAUAUAUUAACAAUUCAAAUUUGAAAUCACUUACCAACACUUUCUUUCUCUGCCGGCUACAGGCAUCUCUGCAAUCACUUUGAUUUGUAAAUUAGGCGUCUUGAACACACUUCCCUGGGCUUUGUUGCAAUAUAGGCUUCGAAAAAGAAGAGAUUACUGCUCCUUCAAUGAAUUAAUUCAGUGCUCCUCAGCUCUUUUUGCAAGAGAAGACUGUGAGAAGCUGAAAAUUAUAUACUCCUUGGUCCUUAGAGUAGAAAGAGGGGAAUGGAUUAUCUUGGAAGAUACCUGAAUUUGUUGGAAACUGGACAAAUAUCAAGAGAUUGUACUAUCUGUUGUUUAUGCUUCACUUUGUUUCAAUUUGGAUAUUAUUCUAUUGAAAUUAUAAGAACCAUACUUCCAUAUACCAUUCGUUUAAUUCUGAAAGUUUGUCGUAGGGACUUGCAGGGCACGUGAAUGAGUGGUCAUUUUGCCAUCUCCCUUUUCAAUAAUCUUGAACUCAUGAAACCUAGGAGACAUUAAACCGACUAUUAGCCUGAAUUAUAUCAGAUGAACUAUAUGAGAUACCAGUCAUUGAGGAGAAGUUGUGGGUUCGAUGAACAGAAAGCAAAUCCUGACGGUGAAGAACGUUUACACAGUUUUGAAACUUUUGAGCAGGUUUGCCACUGAUGCUCAGAAAUACAAGCUUCUAAAUCAGGAUGAGCGCCCCUGGAUUUGUGAAAGAGCCAACUGUUGUUGUGGGUGAACGUGAAAAAGCGGCUGUUCUUAAAGAAUAUGACAACAAUUUACCCGAUUUAGGCCUCAGAGAUCAAGAAUCUGACCAGGAUUUCGUGUCCAUCUGCAAGUUCUUUCUCUGAGCAAUAUCAUUCCACAUUGUUGCUAGGCUUUCAUAGGCUUAAGAGCUCUCUUUGGCUACAUCAGCUAGCUCCUGGAGGUGCAUAUCUUGCUGUGAAGCCUAUGAACUUGGAUAUUAGUGCUACUGCAAUUUUGUGUUCAAAUAUGUUUAGAAAAUCUAACAAGUCAUUGUAACUGAUUUAUGUGAGUCGCUAUGUAUUUAAAGUUAGUGAAAUAUGUUUAUCAUAUAUGUACUAUUAAACUGUAUCCGGACAAGAAUGAGUCCUAUUUUUGUUUAAAUUUGAUUUUCAUGGUUUAUUUUA
Molecule: long non-coding RNA, 1253 nt
Organism: Daucus carota subsp. sativus
Lineage: Eukaryota; Viridiplantae; Streptophyta; Magnoliopsida; Apiales; Apiaceae
Exons: 6
Source: RefSeq, a predicted model, not a curated record